GUAGCAGACUGUUCUAUCGCCGCAAUAUUUUUUGAGGAGGAAAGUCCGGACAACAUAGAGCACCAUGCUUCUUAACGAGAAGAUGCUCGCAAGGGUAUAGUAGUGCAACAGAGAAUGACUGUCUUGGCUGCAAAGUCAGGAUGAUGGUGAAAAGGCGAGGUAAGAGCUCACCAGUAUUGCAGGCGACUGCAAUAGCUGUGUGCCUUUUGGGUUGCAAGACCAUGUAUAUCGGCAUUUAAGGGCUGCUCGUUCGUUGCCGAGGGGUAGGUCGCUAAAGGUUUGGUGCGAACCACACCUUAGACAAAUGAUAGAAGCUCAUUUUUUUGGGAAACAGAAUCCGGCUUAUAGGUCUGCUACUUUU
Molecule: RNase P RNA, 361 nt
Filed under: Bacteroidota bacterium
Lineage: Bacteria; Pseudomonadati; Bacteroidota
Description: Bacteroidetes bacterium RNase P RNA component class A
Rfam family: Bacterial RNase P class A
About the family: Ribonuclease P (RNase P) is a ubiquitous endoribonuclease, found in archaea, bacteria and eukarya as well as chloroplasts and mitochondria.
Source: RNAcentral